GUGCCAGCAGCCGCGGUAAGACGGAGGGCGCAAGCGUUGUUCGGAAUUACUGGGCGUAAAGCGCGCGCAGGCGGGAAGGUAAGUCUGGAGUGAAAUUCCGGGGCUCAACUCCGGAGCUGCUUUGGAUACUGUCUUUCUAGGGACCGGUAGAGGCCGGUGGAAUUCCCGGUGUAGCGGUGGAAUGCGUAGAGAUCGGGAAGAACACCCGUGGCGAAGGCGGCCGGCUGGGCCGGAUCCGACGCUGAGGCGCGAAAGCGUGGGGAGCAAACAGGAUUAGAAACCCCGGUAGUCC
Molecule: ribosomal RNA, 292 nt
Filed under: uncultured bacterium
Lineage: Bacteria
Description: partial 16S ribosomal RNA
Rfam family: Bacterial small subunit ribosomal RNA
Source: RNAcentral